UUAUAACAAGAAUGUGUCCUCAGUACACGAAUGCCCCACUCGCACUAUCAUUUUCUAUGUUCAGUGGACCGUGAAAUUGGGGUAAAAUCUCUAAUUUGGCAUUAAAAUUAGAAAGAUCAUAUCAUAGGGAACAUGUGUACCAAGUUUGAAGUCGAUUGGACUUCAACUUCAUCAAAAACUACCUCGACCAAAAACUUUAACCUGAAGCGGGACAGACGGACGAACGAACGGACGAACGGACGGACGAACGGACGGACGAACGGACGCACAGACCAGAAAACAUAAUGCCCCUCUACUAUGGUAG
RNAcentral lists this long non-coding RNA (304 nucleotides) under Mytilus galloprovincialis (Mediterranean mussel). Lineage: Eukaryota; Metazoa; Mollusca; Bivalvia; Mytilida; Mytilidae. The record is from RNAcentral.